Molecule: non-coding RNA, 84 nt
Organism: Callorhinus ursinus (northern fur seal)
Lineage: Eukaryota; Metazoa; Chordata; Mammalia; Carnivora; Otariidae
Source: RefSeq, a predicted model, not a curated record
UGUCUUUGCCUUCUCAGCCCAGAGGGUGAAGGAACUUUCUAUGCUUGUAAAGCACGUGGCAGAGCGGAGCUCCUCAGACCCUGC